RNAcentral lists this ribosomal RNA (426 nucleotides) under uncultured bacterium. RNAcentral describes it as "bacterial SSU rRNA". It matches the Rfam family "Bacterial small subunit ribosomal RNA", at positions 355 to 772 of the family's 1533-position model. The record is from RNAcentral.
UGGGGAAUAUUGGACAAUGGGCGAAAGCCUGAUCCAGCGACGCCGCGUGAGUGAUGAAGGCCUUCGGGUUGUAAAGCUCUGUUGAGGGAGAAGAAAACAGUUAGAACUAAUAUGUCUAGCUCUUGACGGUAUCCCUUUAGAAAGCACCGGCUAACUCUGUGCCAGCAGCCGCGGUAAUACGUAGGGUGCAAGCGUUAAUCGGAAUUACUGGGCGUAAAGCGUGCGCAGGCGGCUUUGCAAGACAGAUGUGAAAUCCCCGGGCUUAACCUGGGAACUGCAUUUGUGACUGCAUCGCUAGAGUACGGCAGAGGGGGAUGGAAUUCCGCGUGUAGCAGUGAAAUGCGUAGAUAUGCGGAGGAACACCGAUGGCGAAGGCAAUCCCCUGGGCCUGUACUGACGCUCAUGCACGAAAGCGUGGGGAGCAAA